GCUGGUGUAGCUCAAUUGGUAGAGCAACUGAUUUGUAAUCAGUUGGUUAUGAGUUCAAGUCUCUUCACUAGCU
Molecule: transfer RNA, 73 nt
Filed under: Karlodinium veneficum
Lineage: Eukaryota; Dinophyceae; Gymnodiniales; Kareniaceae
Description: tRNA-Thr
Rfam family: tRNA
About the family: Transfer RNA (tRNA) molecules are approximately 80 nucleotides in length.
Source: RNAcentral